RNAcentral lists this ribosomal RNA (468 nucleotides) under uncultured bacterium. Its description in RNAcentral is "partial 16S ribosomal RNA". It matches the Rfam family "Bacterial small subunit ribosomal RNA", at positions 28 to 507 of the family's 1533-position model. The record is from RNAcentral.
GACGAACGCUGGCGGCGUGCUUAACACAUGCAAGUCGAACGGAAAGGCCCUGCUUUUGUGGGGUGCUCGAGUGGCGAACGGGUGAGUAACACGUGAGUAACCUGCCCUUGACUUUGGGAUAACUUCAGGGAACUGGGGCUAAUACCGGAUAGGAGCUCCUGCUGCAUGGUGGGGGUUGGAAAGUUUCGGCCGUUGGGGAUGGACUCGCGGCUUAUCAGCUUGUUGGUGGGGUAGUGGCUUACCAAGGCUUUGACGGGUAGCCGGCCUGAGAGGGUGACCGGCCACCUUGGGCCUGAGGUACGGCCCAGACUCCUACGGGAGGCAGCGGUGGGGAAUCUUGCACAAUGGGCGGACGCCUGAGGCGGCAACGCCGCGUGCGUGAUGCCGGCCUUCGGGUUGUAAACCGCUUUCGCCUGUGACGAAGCGUGAGUGACGGUAAUGGGUAAAGAAGCACCGGCUAACUACGUG